UAAAGUCAUGAUUUGAGUCAUGAAAAGUAUGAUUUGAGUCAAAUAAGUCAGAAGGAAAAACAUGGAAUUGCAUCGUUUUAUGAUUCGAUUCAUGAAACCUGUGAUCCGAAUCACGGGGUUCUAUGAUUCGAGUCAAGUGUAAAUUGUGAGUCGAAUCAUGACAGGUUCACAAGCUUCGUGAAAGCCUCUAUUUCAUUUGAUUUAAGUCAUAUAAUGUAUGAAUCAAAUCACACGUCUAGAAUCUCAAUUUUUUCCAAUUUUAAAGAUAUUUUAAGAUUCAACUAUGUCAUGACUUGAAUCAUUCUCAAAUAUGGUUCUUGAUCCAAAAACUUUACAAAGUGACUUAAAGCAUAUUGCUUACACUAAAAAACAAACAGUUUGAUUUAUACAUGUAAAAUACAAAAUAUCAUUUAAGAAAACAUUGCACUCAAUUCUAAGAUAUUUGCAAAGAUAUAACUUACAGGAGACUCAAUUACAAAAUUAAUAAAUAAUAAACAAUAAUAAACGUACAACAAAAUCAAAGCCUUAGAGAGCAUAUCAACUUCAUAUUGGUUUUGUCGUCUAAAAAAGGAGUAGAGGUGUAGCUUGUUGUUUGUUUGCCUGUUAUUUCUCUAUAAUCUUUAUUAUAUGAUAUUAUCAAUCAAAUCCUUUUGUCACUGAGAGUAUGAAUGAAUUCAAUUUUGUAAAAUAAAAAAGAAUUAGCUUACUCGCCGAGCAUUUUUGAAGGAAUUGGUUAUGCCUCAAGGUGUUUUUGGACAAGAAGAUAGAGGUUUUGUCUCGAGAUUUUUGUCCUAAUUAAGGUUUUUAUCAUUUUUUAGUCAUGUGUGAUUUUUAGAGAGAGCGAAUGGUUAGAUUAGUUGUUGAAUUAAUUAAAUAUAAAUAAAUAUAAUUAAUUAUUAAUAAAUUAUAUUAUGGUCAAUUAUUAUAAAAUACUAAUAAAAAGAUGAAUUAUUUGAUUGGAUUUUGUACCUGUAUGAAUCGUAAUGAGUUGGACCAUUUAGUUAAGUCCAAUGAAAUGUCCAUGUCCUUAGUCGUUUAACUAUUUAAAUGUGUUAUAUUAAACAUUUAGCAUACUAUGAUGAACCUAGACGACAAUGAGAGUAGUAAUCUGCUCAUAUUAAUUUU
This 1125-nucleotide long non-coding RNA is filed under the name Lathyrus oleraceus (garden pea). RNAcentral describes it as "Pisum sativum (pea) long non-coding RNA (PSAT_LNC035845)". The record is from RNAcentral. Lineage: Eukaryota; Viridiplantae; Streptophyta; Magnoliopsida; Fabales; Fabaceae.